GUGGGCUAUAACCUUGGGGGGUGGGGCUGGCCAACUUCAUCCGCCGGACUCGGAAUGGUGCGAGACUUUGCGAGGUGCCUCCGAUUGCAAAAAAUAGGCCGCGGGCACAGCAGCGCCCAAAAAUAACCGCCCGAAGGCCGGGGCGCCAAGUUCGUGCAGCGGAAAAAGGCCACAAAAACGGGUGGGCUAUAGCCUUGGGGGGUGGGGCUGGCCCACUUCGUCCGCCGGACUCGGAAUGCCGCGAGACUUUGCGAGGGGCCUCCGUGUGCCAAAAAUAGGCCGCGGGCAAAGCCGCGCCCAAAUAUAACCGCCCGAAGGCCGGGGCGCCAAGUUCGUGCAGCGGAAAAAGGCCACAAAAACGGUUGGGCUAUAGCAUUGGGGGGUGGGGCUGGCGAAAUUCGUCCGCCGGACUCGGAAUGGCGCGAGACUUUGCGAGGUGCCUCCGUGUGCCAAAAAUAGGCUGCGGGCACAGCCGCGCCCAAAAAUAACCGCCCGAAGGCCGGGGCGCCAAGUUCGUGCAGCGGGAAAAGGCCACAAAAACGGUUGGGCUAUAGCGUUGGGGGGUGGGGCUGGCGAACUUCGUCCGCCGGACUCGGAAUGGCGCGAGACUUUGCGAGGUGCCUCCGUGUGCCAAAAAUAGGCUGCGGGCACAGCCGCACCCAAAAAUCACCGCCCGAAGGCCGGGGCGCCAUGUUCGUCCAGCGGAAAAAGGCCACAAAAACGGUUGGGCUAUAGCAUUGGGGGGUGGGGCUGGCGAACUUCGUCCGCCGGACUCGGAAUGGCGCGAGACUUUGCGAGGUGCCUCCGUGUGCCAAAAAUAGGCUGCGGAUAAAGCCGCGCCCAAAAAUAACCACCCGAAGGCCGGAGCGCCAAGUUUGUCCAGCGGAAAAAGGCCCCAAAAACGGGUGGGCUAUAGCCUUGGGGGGUGGGGCUGGCCCACUUCGUCCGCCGGACUCGGAAUGCCGUAAGACUUUGCGAGGGGCCUCCGUGUGCCAAAAAUAGGCCGCGGGCAAAGCCGCGCCGAAAAAUAACCGCCCGAAGGCCGGAGCGCCAAGUUCGUCCGGCGGAAAAAGGCCACAAAAACGGGUGGGCUAUAGCCUUGGGGAGUGGGGCUGGCCCACUUCGUCCGCCGGACUCGGAAUGCAGCGAGACUUUGCGAGGGGCCUCCGUGUGCCAAAAAUAGGCUGCGGAUAAAGCCGCGCCCAAAAAUAACCACCCAAAGGCCGGAGCGCCAAGUUUGUCCAGCGGAAAAAGGCCCCAAAAACGGGUGGGCUAUAGCCUUGGGGGGUGGGGCUAGCCAACUUCGUCCGCCGGACUCGGAAUGCCGCGAGACUUUGCGAGGGGCCUCCGUGUGCCAAAAAUAGGCCGCAGGCAAAGCCGCAUCCAAAAAUAACCGCCCGAAGGCCGGGGCGCCAAGUUCGUCCGGCGGAAAAAAGCCACAAAAACGGGUGGGCUAUAGCCUUGGGGGGUGGGGCUGGCCCACUUCGUCUGCCGGACUCGGAAUGCCGCGAGACUUUGCGAGGGGCCUCCGUGUGCCAAAAAUAGGCCGCAGGCAAAGCCGCGCCCAAAAAUAACCGCCCAAAGGCGGGGCGCCCAAGUCGUCCAGCGGAAAAAGGCCCCAAAAACAGGUGGGCUAAAACCCUGGGGUGNNNNNNNNNNNNNNNNNNNNNNNNNNNNNNNNNNNNNNNNNNNNNNNNNNNNNNNNNNNNNNNNNNNNNNNNNNNNNNNNNNNNNNNNNNNNNNNNNNNNNNNNNNNNNNNNNNNNNNNNNNNNNNNNNNNNNNNNNNNNNNNNNNNNNNNCAAAAACGGGUGGGCUAUAGCUUGGGGGGUGGGGGCUUGGCCACUUCGUCUGCCGGGCCUCGGAAUACCGCAAGACUAUGCGAAGGGGCCUCUUUGUGCCAAAAAUAGGCCACGGGCAAAGCCGCGUCCAAAAAUAACCGCCCGAAGGCCGGGGCGCCAAGUUCGUCCAGCGGAAAAAUGCCCAAAAACGGGUGGGCUAUAGCCUUGGGGGGUGGGGCUGGCCCACUUCGUCCGCCGGACUCGGAAUGCCGCUAGACUUUGCGAGGGGCCUCCGUGUGGCAAAAAUAGGCCGCGGACAAAGCCGCGCCCAAAAAUAACCGCCCGAAGGCCGGGGCGCCAAGUUCGUCCGGCGGAAAAAGGCCACAAAAACGGGUGGGCUAUAGCCUUGGGGGGUGGGGCUGGCCCACUUCGUCCGCCGGACUCGGAAUGCCGCGAGACUUUGCGAGGGGCCUCCGUGUGCCAAAAAUAGGCCGCGGGCAAAGCCGCGCCCAAAUAUAACCGCCCGAAGGCCGGGGCGCCAAGUUCAUCCAGCGGAAAAAGGCCCCAAAAACGGGUGGGCUAUAGCCUUGGGGGGUGGGGCUGGCCAACUUCGUCCGCCGGACUCGGAAUGCUGCGAGACUUUGCGAGGGGCCUCCGUCUGCCAAAAAUAGGCCGCGGGCAAAGCCGCGCCCAAAAAUAACUGCCCGAAGGCCGGGGCUCCAAGUUCGUCCAGCGGAAAAAGGCCACAAAAACGGGUGGGCUAUAGCCUUGGGGGUGGGGCUGGCCAACUUCAUCCGCCGGACUCGGAAUGCCGCGAGACUUUGCGAGGGGCCUCCGUAUGCCAAAAAUAGGCCGCGGACAAAGCCGCGCCCAAAAAUAACUGCCCGAAGGCCGGGCCGCCAAGUUCGUCGAGCGGAAAAAGGCCACAAAAACGGGUGGGCUAUAGCCUUAGGGUGUGGGGCGGGUCCACUUCGUCCGCCCGACUCGGAAUGCCGCGAGACUUUGCGAGGGGCCUCCAUGUGCCAAAAAUAGGCCGCGGGCAAAGCCGCACCCAAUAAUAACCGCCCGAUGGCCGGGGCGCCUUGUUCGUCCAGCGGAAAAAGACCACAAAAACGAGUGGGCUAAAGCCUUGGGGGGUGGGGCUGGCCCACUUCGUCCGCCGGCCUCGGAAUGACGCAAGACUUUGCGAGGGGCCUCCUUGUGCUAAAAAUAGGCCACGGGCAAAGCCGCGUCCAAAAAUAACCGCCCGAAGGCCGGGGCGCGAAGUUCGUCCUGCGGAAAAAUGCCAUAAAAACGGGUGGGCUAUAGCCUUGGGGGGUGGGGCUGGCCCACUUCGUCCGCCGGACUCGGAAUGCCGCGAGACUUUGCGAGGGGCCUCCGUGUGCCAAAAAUAGGCCGCAGGCAAAGCCGCGCCCAAAAAUAACCACCCGAAGGCCGGAGCGCAAAGUUUGUCCAGCGGAAAAAGGCCCCAAAAACGGGUGGGCUAUAGCCUUGGGGAGUGGGGCUGGCCAACUUCGUCCGCCGGACUCGGAAUGCCGGGAGACUUUGCGAGGGGCCUCCGUGUGCCAAAAAUAGGCCGUGGGCAAAGCCGCAUCCAUAAAUAACCGCCCGAAGGCCGGGGCGCCAAGUUCGUCCAGCGGAAAAAGGCCACAAAAACGGGUGGGCUAUAGCCUUGGGGGGUGGGGCUGGCCAACUUCGUCCGCCGGACUCGGAAUGCUGCGAGACUUUGCGAGGGGCCUCUGUGUGCCAAAAAUAGUCCGCAGGCAAAGCCGCGACCAAAAAUAACCACCCGAAGGCCGGGGCGCCAAGUUCGUCCAGCGGAAAAAGGCCACAAAAACGGGUGGGCUAUAGCCUUGGGGGUUCGGGCUGGCCACCUUCGUCUGCCGGACUCGGAAUGCCUCAAGACUUUGCGACGGGCCUCCGUGUGCCAAAAAUAGGCGUCGGGCAAAGCCGUGCACAAAAAUAACCGUGCGAAGGCUGGGGCGCCAAGUUCGUCCAGCGGAAAAAGGCCACAAAAACGCGUGGGCUAUAGCCUUGGGGGGUGGGGCUGGCCAACUUCGUCCGCCGGACUCGGAAUGCCGCGAGACUUUGCGAGGGGCCUCCGUGUGCCAAAAAUAGGCUGCGGGCAAAGCCGCGCCCAAAAAUAACCGCCCGAAGGUCAGAGCGCCAAGUUCAUCCAGCGGAAAAAGGCCCCAAAAACGGGUGGGCUAUAGCCUUGGGGUGUGGGGCGGGCCCACUUCGUCCGCCGGACUCGGAAUGCCGCGAGACUUUGCGAGGGGCCUCCGUGUGCCAAAAAUAGGCCGCAGGCAAAACC
Molecule: long non-coding RNA, 4093 nt
Filed under: Citrus x clementina
Lineage: Eukaryota; Viridiplantae; Streptophyta; Magnoliopsida; Sapindales; Rutaceae
Description: Citrus clementina (C. clementina) long non-coding RNA (CCLE_LNC006185)
Source: RNAcentral